This 459-nucleotide ribosomal RNA is filed under the name uncultured bacterium. RNAcentral's name for it is "partial 16S ribosomal RNA". It matches the Rfam family "Bacterial small subunit ribosomal RNA", at positions 338 to 795 of the family's 1533-position model. The record is from RNAcentral.
CCUACGGAUGGCAGCAGUGAGGAAUAUUGGUCAAUGGUCGGGAGACUGAACCAGCCAAGCCGCGUGAGGGAUGAAGGUACAGAGUAUCGUACACCUCUUUUGUCAGGGAACAAAGGCGGGGACGCGUCCCCGGAUGAGUGUACCUGAAGAAACAGCAUCGGCUAACUCCGUGCCAGCAACCGCGGUAAUACGGAGGAUGAGAGCGUUAUCCGGAUUUAUUGGGUUUAACGGGUGCGCAGGCGGGCUGUUAAGUCAGCGGUCAAAGCCCGGGGCUCAACCCCGGCCCGCCGUUGAAACUGGCAGUCUCGAGUUGGAGAGAAGUAUGCGGAAUGCGCGGUGUAGCGGUGAAAUGCAUAGAUAUCGCGCAGAACUCCGAUUGCGAAGGCAGCAUGCCGGCUCCACACUGACGCUGAGGCACGAAAGCGUGGGUAUCGAACAGGAUUAGAUACCCUUGUAGUC